RNAcentral lists this transfer RNA (58 nucleotides) under Salmo salar (Atlantic salmon). It matches the Rfam family "tRNA", at positions 8 to 63 of the family's 71-position model. From Rfam's summary of the family: Transfer RNA (tRNA) molecules are approximately 80 nucleotides in length. Their secondary structure includes four short double-helical elements and three loops (D, anti-codon, and T loops). Further hydrogen bonds mediate the characteristic L-shaped molecular structure. tRNAs have two regions of fundamental functional importance: the anti-codon, which is responsible for specific mRNA codon recognition, and the 3' end, to which the tRNAs corresponding amino acid is attached (by aminoacyl-tRNA synthetases). tRNAs cope with the degeneracy of the genetic code in two manners: having more than one tRNA (with a specific anti-codon) for a particular amino acid; and 'wobble' base-pairing, i.e. permitting non-standard base-pairing at the 3rd anti-codon position. The record is from Rfam by way of RNAcentral. Lineage: Eukaryota; Metazoa; Chordata; Actinopteri; Salmoniformes; Salmonidae.
UAGCUCAGUUGGUAGAGCAUGGUGUUUACAACACCAGGUUUGUGGGUUUGAUUCCCAC